CCUACGGGAGGCAGCAGUGGGGAAUAUUGGGCAAUGGGCGCAAGCCUGACCCAGCAACGCCGCGUGAAGGAAGAAGGCUUUCGGGUUGUAAACUUCUUUUGUCAGGGAAGAGUAGAGGACGGUACCUGACGAAUAAGCCACGGCUAACUACGUGCCAGCAGCCGCGGUAAUACGUAGGUGGCAAGCGUUUUCCGGAGUUACUGGGUGUAAAGGGCGUGUAGCCGGGUUGACAAGUCAGAUGUGAAAUCCUGCGGCUCAACCCCAGAACUGCGUCUGAAACUGUUGAUCUUGAGUAUUGGAGAGGCAGAUGGAAUUCCGGGUGUAGCGGUGAAAUGCGUAGAUAUUAGGAGGAACACCAGUGGCGAAGGCGGUUUGCUGGACCGCAACUGACGGUGAGGCGCGAAAGCGUGGGGAGCAAACAGGAUUAGAUACCCGAGUAGUC
RNAcentral lists this ribosomal RNA (442 nucleotides) under uncultured bacterium. RNAcentral's name for it is "partial 16S ribosomal RNA". It matches the Rfam family "Bacterial small subunit ribosomal RNA", at positions 338 to 795 of the family's 1533-position model. The record is from RNAcentral.